Molecule: ribosomal RNA, 347 nt
Filed under: uncultured bacterium
Lineage: Bacteria
Description: bacterial SSU rRNA
Rfam family: Bacterial small subunit ribosomal RNA
Source: RNAcentral
GAGUUUGAUCUUGGCUCAGGAUGAACGCUGGCGGCGUGCUUAACACAUGCAAGUCGAGCGAAGCGCUUUACUUUGAUUUCUUCGGAAUGAAGAGUGAUUUGACUGAGCGGCGGACGGGUGAGUAACGCGUGGGCAACCUGCCUCAUACAGGGGGAUAGCAGUUAGAAAUGACUGCUAAUACCGCAUAAGACCACAGUACCGCAUGGUAUGGUGGUAAAACUCCGGUGGUAUGAGAUGGGCCCCCGUCUGAUUAGGUAGUUGGUGGGUAACGGCCUGCCAAGCCGACGAUCAGUAGCCGACCUGAGAGGGUGACCGGCCACAUUGGGACUGAGACACGGCCCAAAACU